This 206-nucleotide ribosomal RNA is filed under the name uncultured bacterium. Its description in RNAcentral is "partial 16S ribosomal RNA". It matches the Rfam family "Bacterial small subunit ribosomal RNA", at positions 568 to 774 of the family's 1533-position model. The record is from RNAcentral.
UGCGUAGGCUGUGUUGUAAGUCAGAGGUGAAAUCCCGGGCUCAACCCCGGAACUGCCUCCGAUACUGCAAGACUUGAGGACUGGAGAGGAGAUUGGAAUUCAUGGUGGAGCAGUGAAAUGCGUAGAUAUCAUGAGGAACGCUAGUGGCGUAGGCGAAUCUCUGGACAGUUCCUGACGCUGAGGCACGAGGGCCAGGGGAGCAAACG